RNAcentral lists this long non-coding RNA (529 nucleotides) under Triticum aestivum (bread wheat). RNAcentral describes it as "long non-coding RNA (TAES_LNC017081)". The record is from RNAcentral. Lineage: Eukaryota; Viridiplantae; Streptophyta; Magnoliopsida; Poales; Poaceae.
CCUCCUCGACUCCUCCCCGCCCGCCCCGACGUCCAUCCUCGCCCUGCAGCAGGAGGCGUCCGCAGGCCCGCCGGCCCGCCCGCCCUCCGUUCCCCCCGCCCGGCAGCAGGACGCGCCCGGCCUCCGCCCGGCCAGGAUAGCUGGUGAGUGCCUCCUCCACUGCCUCUCUUCUUCCUCAUGAUUUCUCAUUGUAUUGCUGCUGCUACAGGAGGCAAAGCAGGGGAAUCUUGUAUGGUUUCUUGUUAGUUAAUUUGUAUGUUGCUUUGGAUGAUGCAAACAUGUGAUUGAUGGCAUGUACUGAAAUAUUUUGUAUGCAACAUUUAGCAAAAAACAUUGUAUGAAAAUCUGUAAGGAAUGUACUUCUAUAUGAUUGAUUGCUUACUAUUAAUUCUGUGUUGGUAUGGAUAGAUGUCUGCUUAGUAAAAACAUUGACAUGUGAAUGUUGUAGAUGGAAAAAGUGAAGGGUCCGAAAGCAAUUUGGGAUGCUGCGGCUCAUUCCAUUUAUAUGGAUGUGUGCGUAGAGGAGGUG